UACGAAGGGGGCUAGCGUUGCUCGGAAUUACUGGGCGUAAAGGGAGCGUAGGCGGACAUUUAAGUCAGGGGUGAAAUCCCGAGGCUCGACCUCGGAACUGCCUUUGAUACUGGAUGUCUUGAGUGUGAGAGAGGUGAGUGGAACUCCGAGUGUAGAGGUGAAAUUCGUAGAUAUUCGGAAGAACACCAGUGGCGAAGGCGACUCACUGGCUCAUUACUGACGCUGAGGCUCGAAAGCGUGGGGAGCAAACAGG
This 253-nucleotide ribosomal RNA is filed under the name uncultured bacterium. RNAcentral describes it as "partial 16S ribosomal RNA". It matches the Rfam family "Bacterial small subunit ribosomal RNA", at positions 524 to 776 of the family's 1533-position model. The record is from RNAcentral.